Molecule: ribosomal RNA, 430 nt
Filed under: bacterium
Lineage: Bacteria
Also listed under: 1 other name
Description: bacterial SSU rRNA
Rfam family: Bacterial small subunit ribosomal RNA
Source: RNAcentral
GUGGGGAAUAUUGCACAAUGGGCGCAAGCCUGAUGCAGCCAUGCCGCGUGUAUGAAGAAGGCCUUCGGGUUGUAAAGUACUUUCAGCGAGGAGGAAGGCAUUAAGGUUAAUAACCUUAGUGAUUGACGUUACUCGCAGAAGAAGCACCGGCUAACUCCGUGCCAGCAGCCGCGGUAAUACGGAGGGUGCAAGCGUUAAUCGGAAUUACUGGGCGUAAAGCGCACGCAGGCGGUUUGUUAAGUCGGAUGUGAAAUCCCCGGGCUCAACCUGGGAACUGCAUUCGAAACUGGCAAGCUUGAGUCUUGUAGAGGGGGGUAGAAUUCCAGGUGUAGCGGUGAAAUGCGUAGAGAUCUGGAGGAAUACCGGUGGCGAAGGCGGCCCCCUGGACAAAGACUGACGCUCAGGUGCGAAAGCGUGGGGAGCAAACAGG